UUGUGAAUGAACAAAUUCGGCUGUUAGCUUCUCGGAGGAGAGGAGGGAUUUCGGCAUGUUUAUUGAAUAAACUGCUUACUGAUAGUGCGUUGGAUGUUGUGCAAGGAUGCUGUAGGGAUUGAAGUACAGUAUAUGGUUAUUGAGGAAGAAAAUGCACUUACUAGGAUACGUAUUGUUGAGAAAGAAUAAAGAGACAAAAAGUGUGAA
This is a long non-coding RNA of Xenia sp. Carnegie-2017, 207 nucleotides long. RefSeq lists it as uncharacterized. NCBI's taxonomy places the organism in Eukaryota, Metazoa, Cnidaria, Anthozoa, Malacalcyonacea, Xeniidae. The record is from RefSeq and is a predicted model, not a curated record. The transcript is spliced from 2 exons.